This is a long non-coding RNA of Cydia pomonella (codling moth), 4506 nucleotides long. RefSeq lists it as uncharacterized. The transcript has 7 exons. NCBI's taxonomy places the organism in Eukaryota, Metazoa, Arthropoda, Insecta, Lepidoptera, Tortricidae. The record is from RefSeq and is a predicted model, not a curated record.
GCAAGUAUAAUAAAGAAAGAAAAACAACAAAAACUCACGUCAUGACCGUUGUAUUUAUUGAUAGACAUCAUGUUGGCACUGAGAUUUUUUUCGUCCAAACCUUCCGUAAGCGUUCCCUUAAAAGUAUUAGCCCUUAUUAAUACGUCCGAUAAUCAGAGCACAGGCAGGUUACUUAUGACCAAAGUUCCAUCUUAACCGCUGCGCUGCCACUGCGCGACCACCUUAACUGAAGGUGACCUGAGCUGGACCUACAUUGAUAAGUGGCCCAGGUAGUUCUAAAUAUAUCCUUGAUUAAACUUGUUUACCAAUAUUGUACCCAGUCCAUUACGUACAUCGAUUCCAUCGCGCCUCGACCUACACAUAAUCUCGACAAAAUUAAAAAGGUUUUGUUAAUUUCAAAUCCAAAAUGCUUCGUUCGGUUUUGGACGUGAUUUGGGACGAGAGCGUGUGGUUGCCGCCGAACAAUUCGUGGGCAGAUGUGGCCCCUGAGCUGAACAAGGCAGUUACUCACACAAACUAUUGGGAUGUUUUGCUUACAAUUCCAAUGGCCUUGAUGCUGAUGGCGCUGCGUUUCGUGUUGCAUAAAUAUGUAUUUACGCCAUUCGGCAAGUCACUAGGAAUAAAAUACUCUAGAAAUAAGAAGGCCUUUCCAAACAACAAGCUGGAAGCCGCUUACACAGCCGAUCCAGAUUCGAAAAAGAUCACUGCUUUAUCAAAACAAUUGGACAUGUCAGAGCGGCAAAUCCAGCGCUGGUGGCGCCAUCGCCGUCUUCAGGACAGGCCGUCCGCACUUGUUAAGUUCUGUGAGAGUGCUUGGCGGAGCACGUUCCUUCUGUUUAAUCUCAUGUUGGGCCUGUACGUCUUGUGGGACAAGGAGUGGUUAUGGGACAUAGACCACUGUUUCAUCGGGUAUCCACAUCAGGGCAUAUCCAACGAUCUAUGGUGGUACUAUAUGAGUGCGUUCGCAUUCAACUGGUCCCAGACGUUCUCAUUACACUUCGACGUUCGACGCAAGGAUCACCGACAAAUGAUAACACACCACGCAACCUCACUUUUACUGCUGUACCUGAGUUGGGUGUGUAAUGCACAUCGGACAGGAUCCUUAGUGUUACUUAUUGGUGAUGGCUCGGAAAUGUUGCUUGAGGUAUGAAGGUUUUCUUCUUAAAUAUACAAAAUUUUAAAGCCUAGCCAAAGGUUCUACUCGCUAAAAACGUUCUCACUACCUUUUGACGUUCGACGCGGGAAUCACCAACAGAUGAUCACACACCACGCAACGUCAAUUACUGUUGUUCUUGAGCUGGGUGUAUGACGCACAUCGUACAAAAUCCUUGUUGGUACUGGCUCGGAAAUGUUGCUUGAGGUAAAUAAAUAAAUAUUAUAGGACAUUACGAGUAUUACAAAAAUUGACUAAGUCCCACAGUCAGCUCAAUAAGGCUUGUGUUGAGGGUACUUAGACAACGAUAUAUACAAAUAUUAAUAAAUACUUAAAUACAUAGAACACAUCCAUGACUCAGGAACAAAUAUCCAUGCUCAUGACACGAAUAAAAGCCUUUACCAGGAUUUGAACCCGGACCCAUCGGCUUCAUAGGCACGGUCACUACCCACUAAGCCAGACCGGUCCGAGGUCGGUGAGGUAUGAAGGUUUUCCUCUUAAAUGUACAACAUUUCUAAGCCUAUCCUAAAGGUCCACUGGUUUCAUACGUUCUCACUACCGUUCGACAUUCGACGCGGGAAUCACCAACAUAAUGAUCACACACCACGCAACGUCACUAGUUGUUCUUGAGUUGGGUGUAUAACACACAUCGGACAGGACCCUUAGUGUUGAGAUAGGGACAGCUCGGAAAUGUUCCUCGAGGUACGAAGGUUUUUAAACACAAAUAUGACUUGGAUUGUGUGAAUACGGCGCCCACAUGAAUUGAGCUUUUUGUACAAUCGCUUGCGGUCGCGGUGAUCCAGUUAAGAAAAAAUUCCCAUAAAUGCCUGCUACCUACCUGCAAGGCGUUCAAACCGAUAUCACCCGAAGGGUGAAAUAUUGCGAACGCAGGCGAUUGUACCUACUUAGAUCGAUUAAAAAAUCACUUAUAUAAACACCUUUGUGUUGUGUAUCAUUAACACACAUUUUUGUACAGAGCAAGUAAAGUUAGCAAAUUGUGCUAGUUUCCGCGAGAAACGUAUGCGUCCGUACAUGGAUUAGUGCGACUGCGACCAUUUCCGAUAUGAUACUGAUUUGUCAGUGUCAAAAGUGACGUUUUUAGUUGAAAAAAUGUCACUAUUGACACUGAGAGAUCAGUGUCAUAUAGGAAACGGAUUGAAUAACUAAAAUUCGAGUCGGCCUAUGAUCCUCGCGCGAAUGACAAUAUGAUAAUAAUAUCAUUCAAAAAUUUGAUGUCAGUGCACGGUCGGAUUGGCCUGUCACGGCCCGUCCACGUUCCUUCAAACAAAAACAUCACUUUUGCCACUGACAUAUCCGAUUCAUAUCGUAUCUAGACCUAAUAUUUGACUUUAUCUUACAGUUCGAAUCAAAGCAUCAGUCAUUGUAAUGACAUUGGCACUCUUUUUGCAGGCGACAAAGACGAUGAGAUAUGCGAACUACGAAAAAACGAGUAUAUGCAUGUUCGUUGUUUUCACCUUGGUCUGGAUCGCGACUAGGCUCACGUUUUAUCCCUACAUUAUAUGGAGCAUACCAAACCGUGGGGCGUUAUACGUGCGCAGGUUCCCCAUAGUAUAUAUAUUAGUAUUCCUGCUUUACCUGCUUCUGGCCCUGAACGUGUAUUGGACGCGGUUAAUUCUACAAGUCGCGUACAAAGCAGUCGUGCAUGGUGAAACGAAGAAAGACAUCCGCAGUUCAAGUUCAGAAGUCAGCGACAAGUCGCUUUCCUCGGAUCAAGGCACAAGCACAACCAACGGCACUAGUUAUAAGAAAUGAAAUAAACCCAUCAUUUUUAUUAAAGAUGUACGAGAAGCUGCGGCGUCGUAAUCGAACGUGGCACCGCACCUUGCAUCUACUCGUACUCAACUCAACAUCUGCCCGGCGCGCGGCGCGACCUGCGGUGCCCGGUGCAGUAACGUGUGUUUUCACGACGCGGCAACGUAUAUUCGCACGGUGGAUAACGUGCCGCGCUCCGACACGACACCGCGUCGUUUUACGUUUACGGCGCCUUGUCGUGGACAUGUGGCCACGCCCUUAAAGGUCGUAAACAUAUUUGUCAAAAUGUAAUACUUAAUAAACUUCUGCAUAUAACUCGUUUGUGUGUUUAAACUGCAUUUCAAACCAGCGCUAGUAAUGCUCGCUAUUCACGGUUCACCUUUUGUGCCCACUGGAUGAAUACAACUCGUAUCCCUGUAUAUGUAUCCGGACAUAGCCAGAUUAAUCACUCGUUUGAUUAUAGUUUUUCAAUCCGAUUUUAUGUUUGCGUGGAUUUAGUUUUCGCGAAAAUUGGGAAACAUUUUUUACAGCGGCAAACUGUAAAUUGAAUAUUUUUUUAAUAAAUAUGUUAUAGACCAUUUAAUUGCUCCAUUUUGCAUUAAACAAGGGUCGGUUGGUUUUUAAUCAGCUUAUCCGAUAUCACAUAAUUAUGAUAUUGUAUUUAAUAACGUCAGUCGAAUUGCCGAAGACUCGAUUCGAAUAAUAAUUAAGACACGUUUAAGAUCUUUAAAAGAUCGAUAACUAAACGAUAUGUCAAAAUUGACGUUUAUUUCGAUUCCGCUGUGAUCCCAUUAAGAUCUAUCUACGAUAUUUCUUACGUCAAAGUGACAUUGGUUGCCUGAAUCGAGCUGCUUUUGUCAAUUAUGCAACAUAUAAACGAUAUCUAAAUGAGAACUUAUCUAAACCAGAAUUUAUCGUUAUCGUAUCUCAUUCUUCGAAUCGGGCCGGAAGUGCAAAAAGACCUUAGCGAACUCGGCGCCGUCGACUGGACAGAAACGGCUUUGGACAGAGAAGCGGCGGUCUUUGGUGUCGAAGGCCGAGAUCCACUUCGGGUCGCUGCGCCACAGCAGUAAGUAAGUACUGAUGGUGCAAACGAAUGUAUGCAUCAAAGUUUAUAUGAAAUUGCAAAUGCGAUUAUAAUAUUACGUCCCAAAUAAAAGCAAUCCCGGGAUUUGCAAAAACUCUCGAAGUUAAUUGAGUUUACAAAGAGCUUGGGUUAAUGUAUGGAAUCUGUACGCAAACGAAGUAUUUUUAAUUAAACUAUGCAAAUAAAGCAAUUUUGUAUCGUAAGUAUCGGUCCUAUUUACUGUUUGCGAAAAUCAUUAAUUAAGCUUAAAUUCUGUAAAUCCAAUCAGUCUCAUGAACUAGCAGAUUUGUAUGCUGCUGAAGAGUUUGAUCGAAAGAAAAAAAGGUCAGUAGAUAAUACUAAUGAUUAAAAUUAUAUUUUAUAUUGAAUACUUACUUUAAAAAUCAGAAACAAAAUCAGAAUGCUUUAUUUGUAAAACAUAGGUAUUAUUAGGGUAUAAUUUGUACUAUUUUAAAGGCUUUUUAGCAGCCAAUAUGUGCCUACGUUUUUAGCA